UUAUGGGGAGGCUGCCCCAUCUGCUCUUCUGUGUGGAGUGUCUCUGCUCUCUGCAGUGUCCUCAGGACUCCAACUCCGUCCCCUCAGUCAGCUGUCCCGAGUGUAGGGUGAGUACUCUUCACAACUCCUGUCCAUGCAGCCAUCACUCCCUUACUGCGCUACAGCAUGUCAACCAGCUUUCACAACUCUUUUUAGGGAAAGUAGCUAAAGCAUGCUCAAUUUGUCACCAGAUGACACCAUAGACUAAUUUUUUCCAAUUACUUAUGAUAUGGCAAUGAAUAUUACUAACUAGUUUUAAAAAAGAAAGCGAGGCAGAUAGGGUGCCGAUACUUGUAGAGUUGCAUAGAUAUAUCAUGAACAUGCACAUUUUUUAACGCGUUUACAAAUGAAGAAGGCAGGCAAAAAGAAGUCGUGAAAGGUGAGUAGUCUGAAGGAAAUGGUUACUCGUUUGUCAGCAUCAACAAGAAAAGUGUUUAAAAUGAAGAACUAUGGGACAGUAAAGUUUUUUUUAAACAUAACUUUCUCAGAUUUACUAAGUAGAUAGCUUUAGUUGGUCAUUACUACACACCAUAACGUUAGAUAAGUGUGUCUGAGUUUAGUAUUUAUGCAGACCUUUUAUAUAUAUAUUUUUUUAUGUCUCCACCACUAAGUCUGUCCAUCCAUCUAAGGUUCUCAUUAAUGCAAUAUCUCAAGAACCAGUGGUUGAAUGUUUGUAGGAAUUCUAUAGACUAUAUAGUUGUUGUAACCAGCAGAUGACUUGAUUAGUAUUUGGAAUUGAUAAACAAAUAUCAACAAUCAAAAAUAAACGAGGUCACAGCAGUUUCAUGUUUAGGAACUCAAGGCCCUUUAUUGUUUUUUUUUGGCUAGCUACGGUUUUGCCAUCAUUCCAUGCUUCUGUGUGUCCUUGCUUUUGCAUGAGAUUCUUGUUUAGUGUGACAUCUCAAGAACGAAAGGUUGAAUGUUUUAUAGUGUAGCAGCAGCGGCAGGUGGAACACAGACAGAGUGAGACUGGUUAAGAGAGCUUUUAUUUUGUAGCAUGGGAGUGCAGAAGGAUCAUGGGACACUCUGUCCUGGGGAAGCAGUCUGUGAGGGAGGUGUUAGAGAGGAGUGUGGUCGCUAUGGGCCAGGCAGAGCGGUGUAGGCUGGUAGCAGAGUGCGGAGGGAGCGUAGGUAGUGGGGGUGAGGGCUCUUGGGGGGAGAGACUUGCUGUCGUCAUCGUCAUCUGCAAGACAUAGAACAGAAUUGAUCAGCAUAGACACGUAGACAAAAGCUGCUCAAGCUUCUGAGGUUGUGAUGCCUUUUUAUCCUCUCCAGUCUUCUCUGAGAGGGUGAGGAGUUGCAGUGUUUAUCUGCUGCAAGUUGUGCUCUAUUUCCCCACCUCAUGCUCUGCUGCAGUCGACAACAGUGGUGCUGAAAUGACUGUCUGUUCAGCACCUGGGUGGCAGUAGUGUGAGGAGCGUUUUUCACCUCUUCAACAGGUUCACAUGGUACCUGUACGUUUCUGCUCGCUUACCGGCUGCUGCAGGCGUUAUCGUCAGCUGCUGGAGGCUGGCCUCCAUUAGUUGCUGCAGCAUGGAAUCCAUGUUUUUAUUUUUACAUUUUUUAUUAUUAUAUAUUUUUUCCUUUAUUUUUUAUUUGGCCGGGUCUGUGCUCAUUCCCGCAUCCUUCACCAGACUUACAAAUGAGAAAAUACAAAAUACAAGCAAAGCAGUAUAUCAAGCAGAGAACACUGCAAGUAGUGCUACAAUAGAAGAUUUUUAAUUGAGUUCUAGAAGAUGCAAAAAUGUAAUCAGCCCUGAGAUUCUAACCAGCGACCUUGGCAUUCUUAACACCACGCACUAUUUAACUGAGCUACAUUGCCACAUAUAUAAUAUAUCAUAAUAGUUUCGAAGAGAAUUUUUAAGCGAAUAUUUGUAAGUGUCCAAAAUUAUAUGGACGGCGCUCCGUGCAGCGGGGAAAGCACUCAGACAUAGCCCGGGGAGGGAGCGUCAUGUCGCACAGACUCUGGCCAGCUCCAGGCCGAUCAUCGCUGAUUUUUUCCCGGGUGUUGAAGAGUUACCAUUGAUGAAAUUCUUACUUUACAUUUAUUUGGUAAAAAGCUUAGACUUUUCCGGAGCAUUCUGCCGUUAGGGGCGAUGAAGAGUUCCUGGAUAGCAAGCACAUUAGGCCGAUUCUGGUAGAAAUGCGCCACUGUCGGCUCAAUGCCGGUAUCGGUGAAAAGGUAAUUGCCCAGAGCCCUGCUGACCGUUCACACCACUUCUCGCUGACAGACGGUUUUUGCUAUGUGGGCCAAUCUCGGCUGAAAGCAGGUGUACUUGCGGCAGGUCCAUACUCGGUGUAGCGGUGUGUAUCUGCUUUUUCAAGUUCGUUAAGUCACAGACGGGCCACAGCUAAAAUUAAGGAGCUCAGCCGCCUGGAAAAAACUUUUGACGGUUAAAUCAGUUAGGAUACUCGAGGCUGCAGUCAUUCUUCGUUUUCAAGAGGAAUCAUUUCAGCUGAAGAAGGUAAGUAAUUUAAUUGAGUAAUUUCAGUCUACAAUAUUGUUUGAUAUUUAAAAUGUCAGGGAGAAAAUGUUUUUUAAAAAUCUUUUCAACGGUAUGUGUGAUUGUGACAAGAACAUCAGACGGUAUCCUAGCAGCUAGCUAGCCGGCUAGCUAAUUUAGGUUAAGUUAAGAGGCAGCUUGACACUUUUUUUUUAUAAAGCUUUUUUAAUUGCUCUACAAAUAAGAUAAACUCCUAGUUUAUUCCUUCCGUUCCUGUUUUACUACUUUUUAUUUAACUUUUUUAAUAUAUUGUGUCAGAAAACCCACACAGUUUGCAGCAUGCUGUGUCCCGUUAUUAGAUUAUAUUGUCCACUUGGCAGUAUAACAGACCUGUUGUUCGGCUCAACACUGUAUUUCUUAUGUGCAAUUCUUAGCCAUAGUCUAGCAAUAUACUAAUUUUUUGUCUCAUUGAGUGAUCCUGAAGGGAUUGAAUAAAGUUUAAAUGCAACUGUAUUUUACAGACAGCGAUAAAGAGGGCAGGACCUGGUCAGACCUCCAGUCAGACGUGGAAGUGUCUGGGUAAAGACCACCAAGAGAUGCUGCAGAACUGGCAGCCGAUGGACGAUAUGCCGUGUGAGCGUAUUCUUCUGCUUUCUGAUUAACUUUCUUUGCCAUGCUGAGGGAGGUGUUGACUAAAUUAGAGAUGGUGCUGGACCAACAAACCACUGAGAUUGCUUCAACUACAGGAGGUCCAGCUGCAGCCUUUGGAUGUUGAUGAAGAUUUACUGCCCUGCAAGACCUUCCUCAACUGCGUAGUUUGGAGCGAAGGAUGCAA
This is a long non-coding RNA of Ictalurus punctatus (channel catfish), 3318 nucleotides long. RefSeq lists it as uncharacterized. The record is from RefSeq and is a predicted model, not a curated record. NCBI's taxonomy places the organism in Eukaryota, Metazoa, Chordata, Actinopteri, Siluriformes, Ictaluridae. The transcript is spliced from 3 exons.